RNAcentral lists this long non-coding RNA (207 nucleotides) under Brassica rapa (field mustard). RNAcentral's name for it is "long non-coding RNA (BRAP_LNC008341)". Lineage: Eukaryota; Viridiplantae; Streptophyta; Magnoliopsida; Brassicales; Brassicaceae. The record is from RNAcentral.
UUUGCAGUUUUGCUAAAUUAAUUGAUAAAAAAUUAGAACGAUGUCCAUGUACCAUGAAAAGCAGUUUAUCAUACACUAAUACAAAGGUAUAAUGUGGUUUCAAAUUUUAAAACAAAUUUAAAAAUUAUAGGGGGGUACAUAGAUUUUGAGAAAAACUCAAAAAAAUUGAGAAUACUGUUUUAAUGCAUAUAUGAAUCAUGGAAUAAC